CCUGUGGAGCGUUAUAUCAAACGAGAGUAGCUUGUUCUUCGGAGUGGCAAAAUCGGACGCAAUGAAUCAGGAA
This is a non-coding RNA of Selenomonas ruminantium subsp. lactilytica TAM6421, 73 nucleotides long. NCBI's taxonomy places the organism in Bacteria, Bacillati, Bacillota, Negativicutes, Selenomonadales, Selenomonadaceae. The record is from Rfam.